GUGGGGAAUAUUGGACAAUGGGCGCAAGCCUGAUCCAGCCAUGCCGCGUGAGUGAUGAAGGCCUUAGGGUUGUAAAGCUCUUUCAGCUGGGAAGAUAAUGACGGUACCAGCAGAAGAAGCCCCGGCUAACUUCGUGCCAGCAGCCGCGGUAAUACGAAGGGGGCUAGCGUUGUUCGGAAUCACUGGGCGUAAAGCGCACGUAGGCGGAUCAAUAAGUCAGGGGUGAAAUCCCGAGGCUCAACCUCGGAACUGCCUUUGAUACUGUUGACCUUGAGUCCGGGAGAGGUGAGUGGAACUCCGAGUGUAGAGGUGAAAUUCGUAGAUAUUCGGAAGAACACCAGUGGCGAAGGCGGCUCACUGGCCCGGUACUGACGCUGAGGCACGAAAGCGUGGGGAGCAAACAGGAUUAGAUACCCUUGUAGUCC
Molecule: ribosomal RNA, 425 nt
Filed under: uncultured bacterium
Lineage: Bacteria
Description: partial 16S ribosomal RNA
Rfam family: Bacterial small subunit ribosomal RNA
Source: RNAcentral